This 510-nucleotide ribosomal RNA is filed under the name uncultured bacterium. RNAcentral's name for it is "bacterial SSU rRNA". It matches the Rfam family "Bacterial small subunit ribosomal RNA", at positions 28 to 524 of the family's 1533-position model. The record is from RNAcentral.
GACGAACGCUGGCGGUGUGCUUAACACAUGCAAGUCGUGCGACGAACCAGACUUCGGUCUGGGGCAAAGCGGCGAACGGGUGAGUAACACGUGGGUAAUCUGCCCCGAUGACUGGGACAACCCGAGGAAACUCGGGCUAAUACCGGAUGUGGUGCCUGGACUCAAGUCCGGUCACUAAAGGUAGCUUCGGCUUCCGCAUUGGGAGGGGCCCGCGGCCCAUUAGCUUGUUGGUGGGGUCAAGGCCUACCAAGGCAACGAUGGGUAGCUGGUCUGAGAGGACGAUCAGCCACACUGGGACUGAGACACGGCCCAGACUCCUACGGGAGGCAGCAGUGGGGAAUCUUGCGCAAUGCGCGAAAGCGUGACGCAGCAACACCGCGUGAGGGAAGACGGCCUUAGGGUUGUAAACCUCUUUCAGAUGGGACGAAGGUGAUGCGGUGAAUAGCCGAUGUCAUUGACGGUACCGUCAGAAGAAGCUCCGGCUAACUACGUGCCAGCAGCCGCGGUAAU